Molecule: ribosomal RNA, 759 nt
Filed under: Salmonella enterica subsp. enterica serovar Goldcoast
Lineage: Bacteria; Pseudomonadati; Pseudomonadota; Gammaproteobacteria; Enterobacterales; Enterobacteriaceae
Description: partial 23S ribosomal RNA
Rfam family: Bacterial large subunit ribosomal RNA
Source: RNAcentral
UACCUGUGUGACUGCGUACCUUUUGUAUAAUGGGUCAGCGACUUAUAUUCUGUAGCAAGGUUAACCGUAUAGGGGAGCCGUAGGGAAACCGAGUCUUAACCGGGCGUUAAGUUGCAGGGUAUAGACCCGAAACCCGGUGAUCUAGCCAUGGGCAGGUUGAAGGUUGGGUAACACUAACUGGAGGACCGAACCGACUAAUGUUGAAAAAUUAGCGGAUGACCUGUGGCUGGGGGUGAAAGGCCAAUCAAACCGGGAGAUAGCUGGUUCUCCCCGAAAGCUAUUUAGGUAGCGCCUCGUGAAUUCAUCUCCGGGGGUAGAGCACUGUUUCGGCUAGGGGGCCAUCCCGGCUUACCAACCCGAUGCAAACUGCGAAUACCGGAGAAUGUUAUCACGGGAGACACACGGCGGGUGCUAACGUCCGUCGUGAAGAGGGAAACAACCCAGACCGCCAGCUAAGGUCCCAAAGUCAUGGUUAAGUGGGAAACGAUGUGGGAAGGCCCAGACAGCCAGGAUGUUGGCUUAGAAGCAGCCAUCAUUUAAAGAAAGCGUAAUAGCUCACUGGUCGAGUCGGCCUGCGCGGAAGAUGUAACGGGGCUAAACCAUGCACCGAAGCUGCGGCAGCGACACUCAGGUGUUGUUGGGUAGGGGAGCGUUCUGUAAGCCUGUGAAGGUGGCCUGUGAGGGUUGCUGGAGGUAUCAGAAGUGCGAAUGCUGACAUAAGUAACGAUAAAGCGGGUGAAAAGCCCGCUCGCCGGAAGA